AUCGAUAAUUCACGUUAANUUUUACUUUAAUUUAAAACUUAUAUACCGCCAUCUUAAGAAUUAAUUAUAUAAUAUUUACCUAAAUAAUAUUUAAAAAGUUAGGUCAAGGUGUAAUUCACAUUAAAGAAUAGAUGAAUUACAUUAAAUACAACUUAAAGAUUAUAAAUAGAUAUAUUUAUACAAAUAAGAAUUUAAAAGCAAUAUUCAAAUAAUAUUACAAUAUGAUAUAGAUAAAAAAUGUGUACACAUCGCCC
Molecule: ribosomal RNA, 254 nt
Filed under: Platocoelotes latus
Lineage: Eukaryota; Metazoa; Arthropoda; Arachnida; Araneae; Agelenidae
Description: partial 12S ribosomal RNA
Source: RNAcentral